Molecule: ribosomal RNA, 519 nt
Filed under: uncultured bacterium
Lineage: Bacteria
Description: partial 16S ribosomal RNA
Rfam family: Bacterial small subunit ribosomal RNA
Source: RNAcentral
GACGAACGCUGGCGGCGUGCCUAAUACAUACAAGUCGAGCGAGUCUGCCUUGAAGAUCGGAGUGCUUGCACUCUGUGAAACAAGAUACAGGCUAGCGGCGGACGGGUGAGUAACACGUGGGUAACCUGCCCAAGAGAUCGGGAUAACACCUGGAAACAGAUGCUAAUACCGGAUAACAACAGAUGAUGCCUAUCAACUGUUUAAAAGAUGGUUCUGCUAUCACUCUUGGAUGGACCUGCGGUGCAUUAGCUAGUUGGUAGGGUAACGGCCUACCAAGGCGAUGAUGCAUAGCCGAGUUGAGAGACUGAUCGGCCACAUUGGGACUGAGACACGGCCCAAACUCCUACGGGAGGCAGCAGUAGGGAAUCUUCCACAAUGGACGCAAGUCUGAUGGAGCAACGCCGCGUGAGUGAAGAAGGGUUUCGGCUCGUAAAGCUCUGUUGUUGGUGAAGAAGGACAGGGGUAGUAACUGACCUUUGUUUGACGGUAAUCAAUUAGAAAGUCACGGCUAACUACGUG